UUAAUGGAGAGUUUGAUCCUGGCUCAGGACGAACGCUGGCGGCGUGCUUAACACAUGCAAGUCGAACGGAGUUUAAGUUGAAACCUAGUGAUACUUAAACUUAGUGGCGGACGGGUGAGUAACGCGUGGAUAACCUGCCUGAUAGCCUGGGAUAACAGCUGGAAACGGCUGCUAAUACCGGAUACGCUAAUUGGAAUGCAUGUUCUAAUUAGGAAAGAUUAAUCACUAUCAGAUGGAUCCGCGUCCCAUUAGCUAGUUGGUGGUGUAAUGGACCACCAAGGCGACGAUGGGUAGCCGGCCUGAGAGGGCGAACGGCCACACUGGGACUGAGACACGGCCCAGACUCCUACGGGAGGCAGCAGUGGGGAAUCUUCCGCAAUGGGCGAAAGCCUGACGGAGCAACGCCGCGUGAGGGAAGAAGGCCUUCGGGUUGUAAACCUCUGUUUUCAGGGACGAACAAAUGACGGUACCUGAAGAGAAAGCUCCGGCUAACUACGUGCCAGCAGCCGCGGUAAUACGUAGGGAGCAAGCGUUGUCCGGAUUUACUGGGCGUAAAGGGCGCGUAGGUGGUUCAUUAAGUUAGAGGUAAAAGUUCGGGGCUCAACCCCGUGAUGCCUCUGAUACU
Molecule: ribosomal RNA, 625 nt
Filed under: Desulforamulus aquiferis
Lineage: Bacteria; Bacillati; Bacillota; Clostridia; Eubacteriales; Peptococcaceae
Description: bacterial SSU rRNA
Rfam family: Bacterial small subunit ribosomal RNA
Source: RNAcentral